This 303-nucleotide ribosomal RNA is filed under the name uncultured bacterium. RNAcentral describes it as "partial 16S ribosomal RNA". It matches the Rfam family "Bacterial small subunit ribosomal RNA", at positions 507 to 807 of the family's 1533-position model. The record is from RNAcentral.
AGCAGCCGCCGCGGUAAUACGAAGGGUGCAAGCGUUACUCGGAAUUACUGGGCGUAAAGCGUGCGUAGGUGGUUGUUUAAGUCUGCUGUGAAAGCCCUGGGCUCAACCUGGGAAUUGCAGUGGAUACUGGGCGACUAGAGUAAGGUAGAGGAUAGUGGAAUUUCCGGUGUAGCAGUGAAAUGCGUAGAGAUCGGAAGGAACAUCUGUGGCGAAGGCGACUAUCUGGGCCAUUACUGACACUGAGGCACGAAAGCGUGGGGAGCAAACAGGAUUAGAUACCCGGGUAGUCCCUGUCUCUUAUAC